This is a small nucleolar RNA of Malus domestica (apple), 86 nucleotides long. RefSeq annotates it as small nucleolar RNA Z221/R21b. Lineage: Eukaryota; Viridiplantae; Streptophyta; Magnoliopsida; Rosales; Rosaceae. The record is from RefSeq and is a predicted model, not a curated record.
GGGCAAUGAUGAUCACCUGAGGAAGUCAUGCACCACUCUGAUGAAUCUGUGCUGAUAAAUUUCUCAUACCCAAUUCUUCUGAGCCU